RNAcentral lists this ribosomal RNA (200 nucleotides) under uncultured bacterium. Its description in RNAcentral is "partial 16S ribosomal RNA". It matches the Rfam family "Bacterial small subunit ribosomal RNA", at positions 28 to 223 of the family's 1533-position model. The record is from RNAcentral.
GACGAACGCUGGCGGCGUGCCUAAUACAUGCAAGUCGAGCGGUUUUCACCUUCGGGUGAGAGUAGCGGCGGACGGGUGAGUAACACGUAGGUAACCUGCCUGUUAGACUGGGAUAACUACCGGAAACGGUAGCUAAGACCGGAUACGUCAAUUGAAGGGCAUCCUUCGAUUGAGAAAAGCGGAGCAAUCUGCUACUAAUA